This 2407-nucleotide long non-coding RNA is filed under the name Olea europaea subsp. europaea. The record is from RNAcentral. Lineage: Eukaryota; Viridiplantae; Streptophyta; Magnoliopsida; Lamiales; Oleaceae.
AUUUUUCCUUCUUCUCUCGUCUCUGCCUCUCACUCUUCUCUCGUCACUCUUCUUUCGUCACUUCAUCUCUCCAAAAACGAGAGCAUAAUAAUGGAGAAAUCACGUAUCAAAGUCAACAUUUAUCCUCUCAAAUCCAAGUUCUCUGGCUUGGCAUUCGAUCUUGGCCCAAGUAAUACCUUCUCUCUCUCAAAAUUCAUUUAUUUAUUUGAGAUUGAAGCAGUGUAAGCCUUUGAUUUUUUUUAUUAUUUAUUAUUAUUAUUAUUUUUUUUACGUUUAUCUAUUGUUAACAGUUUAAUUUUUUGAAAUAUUAGUUGACUCAUGAAAACUUUCUCCUUUUUCUCGAAAAGUUAGUGCGAGAGCAAAAUUGUAUAACUUCAUUCAUUUCUUGUGGUUCAACGAAGCACUUGUUGGAGACUGGCAGGUUCACCUAGAACCGAUUAUACCCAUUUUAAUGUUGUUUUAGUUUGAAACCCUUUUUUCUAAUCUAUUAACAUAUUUUAGUUUUUUUUUAACCACUGUCUCAAUCAACUCCUAUUAGACACUUUACUUUUUUUCGAAUAAUGCCUAGACAUGUUGCUUUUCUUUCAGCUGAUGUUAUCAGAUAGAUGUUUGCUAAGGUGUUUUGUCAUUUUGUUCAGUUUAUUAUUGACUUUGCCAGCUAUUUUUGAAUUUGAUAGUCAACGUUUUAGUUAUUAGUUCUUAAUGAUGAAUUUUAGUAAUAUGCUUAACGAUGUGAUUGAAGGGUAAUGUUAGCUGGUUCUGCGGUAUCUUGAUUUCUGCAUCUUCCAUAGAUAGUUUGGAUUAUGUAGACAUGAUAUGAGGCCUUCUAGACCAGCGAUAUUAAAAUGCUAUCAAUCAUAAUACCUAGUGAGUUCUCUGUUUCUUCCCUGCCUUUUCUUAAAGGUUGAACUCCAACCUUAAUGGUCCCCCAUCGCUCCACCCCUGGAGCAUCGUGAAAGAGGUUAAUCGCGGGAUGUACCCUAACAGGCUAGUGAACAAGAGCUGCCUGUACACUGGUGUCCACCAAGAGUCCCAAUCCAUAUUUCAGGAAUCGAACCCUCACACUGCAGCUGUCAGCAAGGUUGAGUAAACCUCACCCUUGUUCUUUGCACCAUUGGGAUAUGUCUCGGGGGCCGCCUUUUCUUACUUUUAAGCUAGCCCAGACAUGCUUUAUAUGUGAGCAUAAUCUUAAGACUUGUUAAUUGAUAAACUAUUUAUUCUAUACUUGGAUAUCUCCUUGGCCAUGUUUAAAAUUGAAGCUUAAGGUUGAACUUAAGGAAUGGAACUCUAACUUUCACGUACACAAUCAGAUAGUACAGAACCACCUAAAAUGCUAUUUAGCUUGACAGGAGGACACCAUUGUGUCUGAGAAGAGGAUUAGGAAUGCAAAUAAAAAAAAAGAGUUGGUUUGUUGUGUAUAUGAUUGUGAGACCUAGAUACUCUAGGACCAUGCCUGUAGAAGAAUGAAAUUGAGGAUUCAUAGGCAGUGGCAUUCAUAACACAAGUAUUUAGAUUUGGUUUGAAUUUUUUGGGUAUUUUAACUACAUUUUUUGUUUGGCAUUUUGAUAUUAGCUCAAAUUUGAGUUCUGAAAUAUGUUUAAUUUAAACUAAUUAAUUGAAAUAGCAGUUUGAUGUUUGUAUUUGUCAACUUGAAGGGACCUUCAUAAUUUUUGUUCGCAAAAGUUACAUUUUUAUCAUAUAAUGAUAAGCCAUUCCAUGUAACUCUUUGAACAUUAGUAUAUGAAUUCGAAUUAAAUAUUUGUGUUGCGAUGUUUAUUGUUUUUCUGCUAUCUGAGUACUGCCUGUUGUGUUUUUGUAUGUCCAUGAAAAGGAUAUUUUGUGUCCUCUCUUUAUCUCUCCAUCUCCACAUAUACACAAAGCACAUAUGCUUAUAUAUUUUUAAUUUGGUAUAGUUUGUGUUGUGUCGAGACAGGACGAGUCAGGGGAAAUGUGGUGAGAGUUCAGAAGGGUUGAGAUUACCACUGAGUUGUCUGAAGCAGGGAGGUCGAAGUCACUGGAAGGGGUAUCUACUGUGCAGCAGCAGCAGUGCUAGCCUGGGAAAACAUUGAUGGAAUGGAGGUAGUUCGAGCAGUUGGAAAAUGGGAUCCCUUCAACCUGCCCCCUUAUUGGGACAUCAGCGAUGACGAAGGUGGUAUGCCAUUUGUCCCCUUCAGGAUAAUUGGAGACGAUAUAUUGGGAUCGACCACAAUGAUUUACACACAGAAUUCUAACUAUUCCAAAGAUGAGGAGACAUUAUCCGUGGUUAGACAUUAUCCAUUUAGUAUGUUAAUAGUGGUUUCAAGUUAGUUUGAUGAAAUGGAUUUGCAAGAAAAGGAUGUUCAAUCUAUUUCCAUUUUUUAUUUUGUAUGGUUUAAAAGUACUAAUGAAAUUUUAAUCUCAAUUUCAU